RNAcentral lists this ribosomal RNA (497 nucleotides) under uncultured bacterium. Its description in RNAcentral is "partial 16S ribosomal RNA". It matches the Rfam family "Bacterial small subunit ribosomal RNA", at positions 28 to 507 of the family's 1533-position model. The record is from RNAcentral.
GAUGAACGCUGGCGGCGUGCCUAAUACAUGCAAGUCGAGCGAACGGACGAUAAGCUUGCUUCUCUGAUGUUAGCGGCGGACGGGUGAGUAACACGUGGAUAACCUACCUAUAAGACUGGGAUAACUUCGGGAAACCGUAGCUAAUACCGGAUAAUAUUUUGAACCGCAUGGUUCAAAAGUGAAAGACGGUCUUGCUGUCACUUAUAGAUGGAUCCGCGCUGCAUUAGCUAGUUGGUAAGGUAACGGCUUACCAAGGCAACGAUGCAUAGCCGACCUGAGAGAGUGAUCGGCCACACUGGAACUGAGACACGGUAAAGACUCCUAAGAGAGGCAGCAGUAGGGAAUCUUCCGCAAUGGGCGAAAGUCUGACGGAGCAAGGCGGCGUGAGUGAUGAAGGUUGGUGGAUCGUAAAAAACUGUUAUGAGGGAAGAACAUAUGUGUAAGGAAAUGUGCACAUCGUGACGGUACCGAAUAAGAAAGCCACGGAUAACUACGUG